RNA transcript from Vitis riparia (riverbank grape), 1411 nucleotides. It is a transcript of the gene named heat shock factor protein HSF30, with no coding region annotated. The transcript is spliced from 3 exons. NCBI's taxonomy places the organism in Eukaryota, Viridiplantae, Streptophyta, Magnoliopsida, Vitales, Vitaceae. The record is from RefSeq and is a predicted model, not a curated record.
AAUUCAACCUCUCACUCUCAACUCUCAACUCUCAAGAAUCGUCUUCAUUUCACCAUUUUUGCAGAGGAAACACAGAAGCAAGAAGCCAUGGACGGAGUGAUGGUCAAAGAAGAAGAACCAGUGGUUUCAUGGACUAUGGGCUCAUCAUCAUCAUCUUCUUCUUCACCAGGCUUUGCUCCUCACCCAAUGGAGGGUCUGCACGAGGUGGGUCCGCCUCCAUUUCUUACGAAGACCUUCGAUAUGGUGGAAGACCCAGCAACCGACUCAGUGGUCUCGUGGAGUAGAGCUCGCAACAGCUUCAUUGUUUGGGAUUCGUACAAGUUCUCUACUACUCUUCUUCCCAGGUACUUCAAGCACAGUAACUUCUCCAGCUUCAUUCGCCAGCUCAACACAUAUGGUUUUAGAAAAGUCGAUCCAGAUCGAUGGGAGUUUGCAAAUGAAGGGUUUUUGGGAGGGCAGAAGCAUCUGCUGAAGAACAUCAAGAGAAGAAGACAUGUCUCACAGAAUACACAGCAAGGAGGACUAGGAGCUUGUGUGGAAUUAGGGCAAUACGGAUUGGAGGAUGAACUUGAAAGAUUGAAGAGAGACAGAAACGUAUUAAUGGCAGAGAUCGCGAAGCUGCGGCAGCAACAACAGAAUUCCAGGAAUGAACUAGUUGUCAUGGAGGGUCGAAUGCAGAACACAGAGAAGAAGCAGAUGCAGAUGAUGACCUUUCUCGCCAAAGCAUUAAACAACCCUUCCUUUGUCCAGCAAUUUAUCCAGCAGAGAAGGGAACUUCGAGGGGCUGAAAUCGGGCGAAAACGACGAUUAACCACCAGUCAAAGUGCUGAGAAUUUGCAGGAAGUGAUAACGGUGGCAAGCAUCGACCAAGCGUUCAGCUACGCAAAUCAAGAUGAUGGGGACAUGUCGGGGAUUGAAUCAGAGAUAGAGACAUUUUUCUCAGGCGGCUGGGACAAUGAAUCAAGUGAAGAUAUCAAGGACCCGAAAGCCGAUUCCAUUGAUAACAACUUGGGUUCUGUCAAUGAUGUAGUCUGGGAGGAACUAUUGAGUGAUGAUCUAAUUGCUGGCAAUGAGGAAGAAGUACCCCCACUCCCACUGGGUGAUCCUCAUGAACCAGAAACUGAUGUGGAGGUUGAGGAUUUGGUUGCAACGCCUUCAGACUGGGGUGAGGACUUCCAAGACCUUGUGGACCAAAUGGCUUUUCUCAGGUCCAAAUCAUGAAGAAAUGCUCUGAUUAAAUCAAUUGGUCUUUUCUUCUGGUCUGCUGAAUUGGCCUCUGCAACUUCUUCACUGUUUCUCUUCUUGGGGAUUGGUGAAAGUUGCAAAGAGGCCAACCUAUGAACCUGUUCUUUUGUAUCCUUUGAUGAUGAUUGGUUUUUUAUUUUUUAUUUUUAACUUCUAAUUUUUUUCA